CAGCAGCCGCCGCGGUAAAACGAAGGGUGCAAGCGUUACUCGGAAUUACUGGGCGUAAAGCGCACGUAGGCGGACUUUUAAGUCAGGGGUGAAAUCCCGGGGCUCAACCCCGGAACUGCCUUUGAUACUGGAAGUCUUGAGUAUGGUAGAGGUGAGUGGAAUUCCGAGUGUAGAGGUGAAAUUCGUAGAUAUUCGGAGGAACAUCAGUGGCGAAGGCGGCCAUCUGGGACAACACUGACGCUGAGGCACGAAAGCGUGGGGAGCAAACAGGAUUAGAUACCCGUGUAGUCCCUGUCUCUUAUAC
RNAcentral lists this ribosomal RNA (304 nucleotides) under uncultured bacterium. RNAcentral describes it as "partial 16S ribosomal RNA". It matches the Rfam family "Bacterial small subunit ribosomal RNA", at positions 506 to 807 of the family's 1533-position model. The record is from RNAcentral.